GUGGAGCUGGCGUAAUGGCGGAGGCUGCUUUCCUGGUCCUUCUAGGCUACCGGGCCUAUGGUCUACGAGUCAGGGCUGUGUUGUUCUGUACAGAGAGCGAUGCUGUUUUUCUUCUCCCUACAAUACUCUGUUCAUGAGAUUCCUGUAAGAGGUUCUGAUGGAAAACCCCCUUCAGCCAAUGACCUUUAAGAGACUGGACCAGGCAAAAAUCACCAUGAGGCUGCAACUGCAACACCUGCUGGCCGGUAAUAAUUUUUACACCUACUCCAAUUCACUGUAAUUGCCUAAGGACAGGUAAGAUCUGUAAAGCUACAAAAACAAUUACCAAUAACAUAGCUAUUCAGGAGUUCAAUAAUUAUUUUGCUUAUUCUAUGGAUGGUAUUCUGCAAGGCUUAUGUGAUUUUCCUUAUACAUCCCUUUAUUUGGUUCUAGGGAUUAGUUUUAUUUUUUUCAUAUUAUCUCAUUAAAAAUGGUUUGAUGGGCUGGAGAGAUGGCUCAGAGGU
Molecule: non-coding RNA, 503 nt
Organism: Myodes glareolus (Bank vole)
Lineage: Eukaryota; Metazoa; Chordata; Mammalia; Rodentia; Cricetidae
Source: RefSeq, a predicted model, not a curated record